GGUCAAGUGAAGAAGCGCAUACGGUGGAUGCCUUGGCAGUCAGAGGCGAUGAAAGACGUGGUAGCCUGCGAAAAGCUUCGGGGAGUCGGCAAACAGACUUUGAUCCGGAGAUCUCUGAAUGGGGGAACCCACCUAGGAUAACCUAGGUAUCUUGUACUGAAUCCAUAGGUGCAAGAGGCGAACCAGGGGAACUGAAACAUCUAAGUACCCUGAGGAAAAGAAAUCAACCGAGAUUCCCUUAGUAGUGGCGAGCGAACGGGGAUUAGCCCUUAAGCUUCAUUGAUUUUAGCGGAACGCUCUGGAAAGUGCGGCCAUAGUGGGUGAUAGCCCCGUACGCGAAAGGAUCUUUGAAGUGAAAUCGAGUAGGACGGAGCACGAGAAACUUUGUCUGAACAUGGGGGGACCAUCCUCCAAGGCUAAAUACUACUGACUGACCGAUAGUGAACCAGUACCGUGAGGGAAAGGCGAAAAGAACCCCGGAGAGGGGAGUGAAAUAGAACCUGAAACCGUAUGCGUACAAGCAGUGGGAGCCUACUUGUUAGGUGACUGCGUACCUUUUGUAUAAUGGGUCAGCGACUUAUAUUCAGUGGCAAGCUUAACCGUAUAGGGUAGGCGUAGCGAAAGCGAGUCUUAAUAGGGCGUUUAGUCGCUGGGUAUAGACCCGAAACCGGGCGAUCUAUCCAUGAGCAGGUUGAAGGUUAGGUAACACUGACUGGAGGACCGAACCCACUCCCGUUGAAAAGGUAGGGGAUGACUUGUGGAUCGGAGUGAAAGGCUAAUCAAGCUCGGAGAUAGCUGGUUCUCCUCGAAAGCUAUUUAGGUAGCGCCUCAUGUAUCACUCUGGGGGGUAGAGCACUGUUUCGGCUAGGGGGUCAUCCCGACUUACCAAACCGAUGCAAACUCCGAAUACCCAGAAGUGCCGAGCAUGGGAGACACACGGCGGGUGCUAACGUCCGUCGUGAAAAGGGAAACAACCCAGACCGCCAGCUAAGGUCCCAAAGUUGUGGUUAAGUGGUAAACGAUGUGGGAAGGCUUAGACAGCUAGGAGGUUGGCUUAGAAGCAGCCAUCCUUUAAAGAAAGCGUAAUAGCUCACUAGUCGAGUCGGCCUGCGCGGAAGAUGUAACGGGGCUCAAACCACACACCGAAGCUGCGGGUGUCACGUAAGUGACGCGGUAGAGGAGCGUUCUGUAAGCCUGUGAAGGUGAGUUGAGAAGCUUGCUGGAGGUAUCAGAAGUGCGAAUGCUGACAUGAGUAACGACAAUGGGUGUGAAAAACACCCACGCCGAAAGACCAAGGGUUCCUGCGCAACGUUAAUCGACGCAGGGUUAGUCGGUUCCUAAGGCGAGGCUGAAAAGCGUAGUCGAUGGGAAACAGGUUAAUAUUCCUGUACUUCUGGUUACUGCGAUGGAGGGACGGAGAAGGCUAGGCCAGCUUGGCGUUGGUUGUCCAAGUUUAAGGUGGUAGGCUGAAAUCUUAGGUAAAUCCGGGGUUUCAAGGCCGAGAGCUGAUGACGAGUCGUCUUUUAGAUGACGAAGUGGUUGAUGCCAUGCUUCCAAGAAAAGCUUCUAAGCUUCAGGUAACCAGGAACCGUACCCCAAACCGACACAGGUGGUCGGGUAGAGAAUACCAAGGCGCUUGAGAGAACUCGGGUGAAGGAACUAGGCAAAAUGGCACCGUAACUUCGGGAGAAGGUGCGCCGGCUAGGG
Molecule: ribosomal RNA, 1707 nt
Filed under: Pseudomonas aeruginosa
Lineage: Bacteria; Pseudomonadati; Pseudomonadota; Gammaproteobacteria; Pseudomonadales; Pseudomonadaceae
Also listed under: 1 other name
Description: partial 23S ribosomal RNA
Rfam family: Bacterial large subunit ribosomal RNA
Source: RNAcentral